CUUAGCGCGGUGGUCCCACCUGACCCCAUGCCGAACUCAGAAGUGAAACGCCGUAGCGCCGAUGGUAGUGUGGGGUCUCCCCAUGCGAGAGUAGGGAACUGCCA
RNAcentral lists this ribosomal RNA (104 nucleotides) under Escherichia coli. RNAcentral also lists the same sequence under 1 other name. The record is from RNAcentral. Lineage: Bacteria; Pseudomonadati; Pseudomonadota; Gammaproteobacteria; Enterobacterales; Enterobacteriaceae.